GUGCUCGCUUCGGCAGCACAUAUACUAAAAUUGGAACAAUACAGACAAGAUUAGCACGGCCCCUGCGCAAGGAUGACAAGCAAAUUUGUGAAGUGUUCCAUAUUUUU
Small nuclear RNA from Bos indicus x Bos taurus (hybrid cattle), 107 nucleotides. The record is from Ensembl. NCBI's taxonomy places the organism in Eukaryota, Metazoa, Chordata, Mammalia, Artiodactyla, Bovidae.